CCAGAGGAGCAGCAGCAGCACACGCAAAGCUGCCUGGCCUGAAAGAUAGUAAAGGGUCACCUUGUAAAACACAGAUGCAAAUUCAGGAUGGCUAAUAGCAGGAGCCGAGAAGGCUGUGGAGGCAGAGGUGUUGCAGAUUCCACUGGAUGGGGAGUCCUGAUUGAACAUCGCGGCGGAGCUUCCCAGAAGGCACAGUGAUGGAGUGUGGGCGCCAGGCAGAAGGUCAAGGACGGAGAGAGUUCAGAUUUAUCAGCAAAUAAGUGAGGUGAAGAGAAUUACACUUAACUUGGACUGGCCAACAGUAGGCACUGCUAGACUGAAGGGUUGACAGAGUGAUGACGUCAGUACGAUCGGCUGCAGAGCCCUGUACAAUAACCACCUAAGUCCUUGAACGCCUGCGUAUGCUCAUGAGGAUGCUGUGAGCACCGCUCUCUUCUCAGCAUUGUGCUGGGGAGAGAAUGGAAAAGAGUCAGAGGAAAACAGCCAGUA
Molecule: long non-coding RNA, 489 nt
Organism: Meriones unguiculatus (Mongolian gerbil)
Lineage: Eukaryota; Metazoa; Chordata; Mammalia; Rodentia; Muridae
Exons: 4
Source: RefSeq, a predicted model, not a curated record